CUACAUCUAGAACACGGUCUGGGACUGCGUAGGAGCCCAACAAACACACUUAGCAAAUGUGUGAGCAUGGAGUUGGGGCUUUGUGUAGGUUUUAAGUGAUCACAUUAAAGAGUGAGAGAGCCAGCAUGCCAUGAAAAGAUAGUGGUAACCAGCAAAGGGGAGUGGUAUUUUAAUUGCAGGAUCAGCAGCAUCAGCAACACCUGGGCACCUGUUAGAAAUGCGGAAACCCAAGGCCCAGCCCAGACCCAUCAAACCAGAAUCUGCCUUGUGUCUGCUGUACCUCCCAGCACCUCAACCUCCAAUAUUCAGCCUAAGCUGCCGCCAUCACCACCACCACCUCAGCCUUCCAGUGUGCUCAGUGUCUUCCCGAUUCUGUGACUGGAAGGAAGGUAAGGAACAAAUGAAGCAAGUGUCUGGAGAAGACGGUUUCAGAUACAGAAAGCAGCAGACGCAAAUCUCUGAGCAGGACCUUGUUCAUGGAUGCCAGAACAUGCUGGAGUCUCUAGUAGCUGGAGAAGAGCCUGUGGGUAUGUGGGGAAAGUGGACAACGUAAAGGAUGCAGCAGGAUUAAAGAGAUAACAGGUUGCCUCUUCACUCUGUUGAUUAUUUCCUUUGCUGCGCAGAAGCUUUUUCCUUUGAGAAAUCAACGUUGCAGAUUGCCGUGGUGUUUUUCCUAGAUCUCCCAACGAGACGGAGAGCCCCAGUUGUCUAGUUUCUGAGAAAGUUGAUGGAUGACAAUUUUAAUCGAAGUCCUUCUCCAGGAACUGUCGUCAGGCCCCUCUCCAGGGCAGUCUGUAGCCCAUAAGUGUUUGAGCACAAUAUUUGCUUUAUCACAAAAUGUUCAGCAUAAUUUUUCUCCCUCCCACACUGGAAGAAUUUUAAAACUGAUAAUAGCCAAGAACAGAAUGGCUCUUGAAACAGAGCUGGAGAUCCAUAUAAGGUA
RNAcentral lists this long non-coding RNA (943 nucleotides) under Equus asinus (donkey). RNAcentral describes it as "lncRNA (ENSEASG00005030294.1)". Lineage: Eukaryota; Metazoa; Chordata; Mammalia; Perissodactyla; Equidae. The record is from RNAcentral.